RNAcentral lists this ribosomal RNA (264 nucleotides) under uncultured bacterium. RNAcentral describes it as "partial 16S ribosomal RNA". It matches the Rfam family "Bacterial small subunit ribosomal RNA", at positions 793 to 1055 of the family's 1533-position model. The record is from RNAcentral.
GUCCACGCCGUAAACGAUGGGUACUAGCUGUCGGAGGGUCUUACCCUUUCGGUGGCGCAGCUAACGCAUUAAGUACCCCGCCUGGGGAUUACGGUCGCAAGACUAAAACUCAAAGAAAUUGACGGGGCCCGCACAAGCAGUGGAGUAUGUGGUUCAAUUCGAUGCAACGCGAAGAACCUUAUCCUGGGCUUGACAUCCGGUGCUACUCUAUGAAAGUAGAGGUUCCCUUCGGGGACGCCGAGACAGGUGUUGCAUGGCUGUCGU